CAGGACGUCUCCUAAGAGAAGCAACUGACACAUCAGGGAUUGGUGAACUCAUCUCCUUGUUUUAGAAAAAGAAGCAGCUGUCUAGAAAGCAGCCCACGAUGCUCCUUGGUUGAUCUAGAGGAGCUGCCAGCAAUGUUAAGGUUAGAAACAGAUUCUGAGAUCGAAGUGUUGAGGUUUACUGGAGUUUGUGCGGAGGGUUCAUAAGGGAAGCAGAAUUGGCAAAUUGAGAAUCUGAACUGUGAUAUAAUUUUCACAGAAGCUGUAGCUGAUCAAAAGGCCUACCUGUGAAAGAGAGAAAGAAAAGAAGGAAGGAAAGAAAGAAAGAAAGAGAGAGAGAGAAAGAAAGAAAGAAAGAAAGAAAGAAAGAAAGAAAGAAAGAAAAAGAAAGAAAGAAAGAAAGAAAGAAAGAAAGAAAGAGAAAAGAAAGAAAAAAAGAGAAAAGAAAUGUCAUGAAAACAUUACUUUUAAAAAAAGCAAGACUGACUAUCUAGAUAAAAUAGGCCUCAAAGUAAANGGAGGGAGGGAGGGAGGGAGGGAGGGAGGAAGGGAGAAGGAGAGAGACAGAGAGAGAAAGGAAAGAAGGAAGAAAGAAAAGAAAUGAUAAAAACUUUCAACAAGCCAGAGAGAGGGAAGAAAAUGUCCUCAAUAUGAUAAAGAGUACGUAUGAAAAAUCUACACAGAACACAAUACAUGAUGGCUAAAGACCAAACACUUUCCCCCUAAGAUUGAAACAAAGGAUGUCUGCUCAUAUCACUGCAGUUCAGCAUUAUAAUGCAAGUCCUAACCACUUAGUAAGAGAGAGAGAGGGAAAAAAAAGUAAAGAAGAGAAAAAAGCAUAUGGACUGGGAAUAAAAAAGUGAAACUCUCUUCA
This 871-nucleotide long non-coding RNA is filed under the name Vulpes vulpes (red fox). RNAcentral's name for it is "lncRNA (ENSVVUG00000007139.1)". The record is from RNAcentral. Lineage: Eukaryota; Metazoa; Chordata; Mammalia; Carnivora; Canidae.